AAUCUCUCAACGCCAACCGCAACUAAGCACGCAUUCAUUAUAUUAGUUCGUCUCAUUACCCAAACAAACCGAAAGGCGCCUCCUCCUCCCUCCUCCUGCUCCUCCUCCCCCCCCCGCCCCGUUUCCUCCUCACGACUGAACCCCAGAAAGAAAACAAAAUGAUGCGCAACACCUGUCUUAACCUGGCGGGCGUCAGCGGCAUGGCCGUGUACGCCCCGCACUGCCGCGUGGAUCUGGAGCAGUGGUGCAAGUGGACGGGUAACAGCUGGGACAAGGUGUCGAGCGUCGUUGGGCAGUCUUUCCGCAUUACGAACUACAACGAGAACGCGUACACCAUGGCCGCUAACGCUGUCCUCCGCCUGAUUGUGAACAACAAUAUCGACCCCACCAAGAUCGGCUUCCUCGGCCUCGGCACGGAGAGCUCGUCCGACAACUCGGCGGGCGCCAUCAUUGUGAAGGGUAUGGUGGAUAAGGGUCUGCGCGCCAUGAACAUGCCGGCCAUGUCGCGCCACUGCGAGGUGCCUGAAUUCAAGCAUGCCUGCCUGGCCGGCGUGUACGCGAUGGAGAGCGCCACCCGCUUCGUCGACGCCGAUGGCAAGGACCGCAUGGCGAUCGCUGUGGCGUCCGACAUUGCCGAGUACGCGCUGGGCUCCACGGGCGAGCAGACGCAGGGCGCCGGUGCCACCGCCAUGGUGCUCGAACACGACCCGAAGCUGUUUGAAGUGCAGCUGCAGCACAGCGGCUCGGCUUCGGACUACCGUGGCCCUGACUUCCGUAAGCCGCACCGCCGCCAUUUCAUGAACCUGGAAGAGUACACGAAGAGCUCUGCCAACGGCAAGAUGGCGGACUUCCCGGUCUUCUCCGGCCCCUACAGCACUCUCGUGUACCAGGAGGAGGUGACAGUCGCGGUGGAGCACAUGCUGGAGCGCCUGCAGCAGUCUCCGGGCAAGUACUAUGACGACGUCACUGCCCUCUUCUUCCACCGCCCGUACAACAUGAUGCCCAUCCAGGCCAUGUCGUUCCUGUACGCCCGCGGCCUUGCCCGCGCCACCUCCGAGGAGCACAAGGCUUAUUUCGCAGAGCUAUGCAAGCAGGGCAAAGCCGACCCCGCAGUCGUGCUGAAGGAGCUCGACGUGAACCCGCACUACUUUCAGCAGAUCGAGAGCGGCGGAGAGCCGAAGGACGCGUUCCCGGCAACCGGUAAGGUUGCGAAGGUGCUGCGCAAGGACAAGAAGUUCAUCGACCUGCUGGAGAAGAAGAUGAGCAUGGGCAGCCCAGCAAUGGGCAACUUUGGAAACCUGUACACGGCCUCCCUGCCCUGCUGGCUGGCGGCCGGCUUCGAGGAGGCCUACACCCGCAAGCUUGACAUCACCGGCAAGCCUAUGGUGAUGGUGGGCUACGGCUCCGGCGAUGCGAGCAUGUCGAUCCCUAUCUUGCCCGUGCCUGGCUGGGAGAACGCUGCCGCCAACAUCAACGUCAGCAAGGCCCUCGAGAAUCCCGUGAACCUGGACAAGGCCCAGUACGAGGCUCUCCACACAGGCGCCGAGAAGAACGAUCUGGCGAAAGACAGACGCAAGAUGGAGUUUGUCAUUGACCGCCUUGGCAACCGCAACGAGGCCGCCUUCCAGGAUGUCGGUAUUGAGUACUACCGCUACAUUCAGUGAUCUAUCCAGAUGACGUCGCAUCUGGGUGAGAAAGGGAGAGAGGAAAGGUUGCAGUGACAGAGCUGCUGCGCGGUUACGCGGCAGCUGUGUCGAAGACAAUCCUGGCAAGAGCGACUACCUCAAGCGCAAGAGGAAAGACUUCACGAAGGGUGAAUAGACGGAUGGAAAACAGAUGGGCGAGGGGCACUCAAACCUCGACAUCGGUGCGCACGCGCCAUGUAAGAAGGAAAGGGCAACUCGGACCCCCUCGCAAGACCCAUCUACCCCAAGGCUCCUCGUGGACCUCUUAAGACGUGUGCGCCAGCCUGUCAUGACGCCCUUCUACCCCCUCCUAUUCUCUCGCGUACUCUCCUGAGUACAAGGGAGAGGGGAAGCGAGGACGUGAAAGGAAGAGGGAGAAAGAGGCGGCGCUAUUCCAAGAUCUUGUCGUGGGUGGCUCUUUGGUGAUCAAUGUCCCCUUCCUCUGCUGCUCCGUUGGCGUCGCUCGCCAGCGUGGCCUGACCCCUUGCUUGCCGGGCAAGUGGAGUACGUGUGUGUGUCCGUCCAUCUGCGACGUCCUUAAAGGUGGGGGGAGAUGCGAUCGAUGCAAGAGGGGGAAAACGAAGGACGGGCGCGUGUAGCAAGCGAUAGGAAUGUUUGAGAAGUGUGUGCAACUUAAAGGAAGGUCGAGGGAAUUGGCGGUGGAAGUCGUUCUGUGGACGCUUGCUGGAGCUUUAGUGCGAUGCAGCGGGAGGUGGCGGUGGAAGAACACAGCCCACGCUCAUCCAUCCCACCACAACGGCAAGCCGUCAUCAACCUCGCCGCCUCCCCCGUCAUUCCUCACCCUCGCAACGCUACCUCCUUCCAUCCCUCUCCAUCACCACCCUCUCUCUCUCACACCCAUCACCUACGUAUGCGCGAAUGAAGAAAACGUCUUCAUCUAUCGCUUGGGUGUGUGUGUGUGUGUGUACGUGCGCGCCCCUUCUUCGCGUUGUGUUUCCCUUUCGGUGCCUGAGCUGUUUCGCCUGCGUAUUGUGGCCUCGAUUUCCCUCCUUCUGCCUCUUCAGAAGUAUUUUCCUCCCCUCCCUCUCGUCUCCCUGUCUCUGAGCGUGUGUGUUUCCCGCUAAGUGAGUUCACCUUUUUCUUUUUUUUUCUGCGUUCGUGUGCACUUGUGCUUUACGCGUUACGCCUCUCCUUUACUGUGUGUGUGUGCGCGUAGGCGUGUGCGUGUGUACAGGGGAGGGUGCGGGUGUCUCGCUUACUCCCUCUCUCGUCGAGGAACGCCCCUUUGUUUCUCUUCUCACUGCCUCGCCUCCACCAGCAUCCUCCUCCACCUCCCCCUCCCCAUUUCUUCUCUGUUUCUUCUCAACGACGUUCCCCGAACGCACUGUCUCCCGGCCUCAUCAUACCAUAGUAUGCUGCUGUUUGGACCGCUCCAGUCUACUCUUCUCUGCGUCCCACAUUGUGUGUAGGCGUUUUCGCGUGUGUGCGUGUUUGACCCAUGGCGCCAUCCUCCUUGCACUAUAUGCUACGUCUCUUCCGCACUUGCUCUUCUCUCUAUUCUUCUCUGUUCGCGUUCAUCCGUGUUUUGCGCGGUCGUUGGUGCCCCACGCGUUGCUGUGAAAUGUGGUGCGCCGCAACACCUGGGGCCCAUACGCGCCUCUGUCACUGCAUGCCCCCUCCCCUCUCUUGAAGCACGCACGCUCAUCGAUGUAAAUGCGAAGCGCACGCACACAUACACACACACACACACAACACUCAAUCACCCACAACACCCACACACAGACAGACAGACGAGCCGCGUUUCUCCGGUCUGCUCUGUUCUGCGAAGAAAAGUAAACGAGCGUUGCCUCGCUUCUCAUGCUUUCCUUCGCUUUUCUCUUCAAGUGCUACAUGCCACCUCCCUCGCCCCCCUUACCACCACCACUUCCACACCCCCACGCAUCUACCCUUGCCGUCUGACCGUCUCCGCAACACCAAGAGCCGAAGAAAUGACAGGCGAAUGACGACGUUUUAUCUUUAAUUACUUGCCUAUCUUCGUAUCUUUCCUUCAUGUCUUGUGCGCACCCCCUCCUCCUCCUUUCUCUCCUUUCUAUGUCUCUCCAUCGCUGUCUGUCUUCCCACUCGACUCGGGCCCUCACUCGUCGACGGUGUCCUUCCUUUCCGUGAUGUUGAUGUUGAUGCUGAUGCGCCCUGUUCGUCUUUCCUGUCGUUACGUUGCGUGCGUUUUCCUUCCUGUGUUGUGCACCCCCACACCCGACUUCUUUUGUUUGGUUUAUGCGUUAGCCGCUCGUGGCGCCCACCAUCAUCUCCACCGUGCGUUCUUCUCCCUCUCUGUGAGUGCGCCCCUCCCUCCGACUACAUACAUGCAUACGUACAUAUGCUCAACUCGCCUGCUAUGUGAGAUGAGGUGUGGGUGUGGGUGCGGAGGGGGAGGGGAGGUGCCGCCGAUCGUCGUGUCCCCUCCCCCCUCUCUUCUCUGUAUGCACCUGAUCCAUCUGCGCGUGUGCAUAUGCCUCCAGGCAACCGGCAGGGAAGGCAAGGUCCACAGGGUGGGUGAUAAGAACUGCAGCAAAGACAUGUCCCCACUCCUCUCCCCUCUCCCACACACAAGCGGCUUAAUAGGUGCAAGGACCCCCGAGGGUGGGAGAAGCGAAGGAGAUGGAGGGGAAGGAGAGGUGGAGACGCGGGCGUCGUGCGACGAGGGCGCGGAUCGGUGAUAUACGAAAC
RNAcentral lists this unclassified non-coding RNA (4373 nucleotides) under Leishmania donovani. Its description in RNAcentral is "gene:LdHU3.24.2680(CDS-product:3-hydroxy-3-methyl glutaryl-CoA_synthase_putative)". Lineage: Eukaryota; Euglenozoa; Kinetoplastea; Trypanosomatida; Trypanosomatidae. The record is from RNAcentral.